RNAcentral lists this ribosomal RNA (398 nucleotides) under uncultured bacterium. Its description in RNAcentral is "partial 16S ribosomal RNA". It matches the Rfam family "Bacterial small subunit ribosomal RNA", at positions 523 to 918 of the family's 1533-position model. The record is from RNAcentral.
AUACGUAGGGUGCGAGCGUUGUCCGGAAUUACUGGGCGUAAAGAGCUCGUAGGUGGUUUGUCGCGUCGUCUGUGAAAUUCCGGGGCUUAACUCCGGGCGUGCAGGCGAUACGGGCAUAACUUGAGUACUGUAGGGGAGACUGGAAUUCCUGGUGUAGCGGUGACAUGCGCAGAUAUCAGGAGGAACACCGGUGGCGAAGGCGGGUCUCUGGGCAGUAACUGACGCUGAGGAGCGAAAGCAUGGGUAGCGAACAGGAUUAGAUACCCUGGUAGUCCAUGCCGUAAACGGUGGGCGCUAGGUGUAGGGGUCUUCCACGACUUCUGUGCCGUAGCUAACGCAUUAAGCGCCCCGCCUGGGGAGUACGGCCGCAAGGCUAAAACUCAAAGGAAUUGACGGGG